Molecule: long non-coding RNA, 1314 nt
Filed under: Homo sapiens (human)
Lineage: Eukaryota; Metazoa; Chordata; Mammalia; Primates; Hominidae
Description: HSALNT0385222
Source: RNAcentral
CAGAACAGAGAUGUUGGUGAAAAAAUGACUGAAAUCAGAACCAAGUCUGACAUUUGUUUGUAGUCAGUCAAUGUUGUUGACGUACAGACCAACGUCAUCUUCUCAGGGUAGCCAAAUGCACCAUGGAGACUUAAGACACCAGCGAGGGGGAGACUGACAACGGGGCAUGGGAACGCAGGGCUCAUGCCACAACUGUCCUAGAAAUAGAAAAUUCUUCCAAAGUAAAAAGUUUAUGUUUAAAAUAUAGGGAAAAGACUUGAAUAGACAUUUCACCAAAGACGACAUGUCAAUGGCAAAUAAACACAUCCAAAGGAGCUCAACCUCCAUGAAGAGGGGAAAAGCGCAUCGAAGCCCACUGCACACCUGCUGGAAUAACCCUGAUCAAAACCCAGAGGAUGGCAGGAGCCGCCCGACCUGCAAACAGCCACGGUGUCCCUGCUGACCCCGUGCCUCCAGCACAGCCUCCUCCUGGACUUGGUUUUAUCCACAGCUGCUGAGGUCACUUGCUCCAACUCCAGAAGGAAUUCUGCUCACAGCUGUCACACUGACCAGCACGUCCCAGGUCCUCAGAACUUUCCCAGCGCCAGUGAACUUUCUCAAAGAGCAAUAGGUAACCUUCUCCUUUCUUGUAAAACCACCAACCUUCUACUGCUUCUCCAACCUCCACCAUUUACCUGGUCGGCACAUAUGCCCCAAGAUGCAAUCCUUUCUUCCCAAAUAAAACGUUAAACUUGGAAAUUCGCCUCUACAUUUUUAUUUUGACUUGAACAUACCCCAGCAACCGUGAGACCCCGAGGACACGAGUGACCUUCCCUGCUCCUGGUUCCUUCGUGUGCACAACAGGCCGUGCUGUCUCCUGGAGCCUGGGGCCUGGCACCUGGGAGCUCAGCCAGAGCGGCCCCAGCAACCUCCCUGUAGCUCCAGCAGUGCCAUCCCUGUGGUCAGCGUGGACCUGGCCUCCCAGUGGCCCCAAGUCCCCCCAUAGCUCCAGUACUGCUGUCCCUGCAGCGUGAACCCGGCCUCCCAGUGGCCCUGUAUUCCAUGGAGGCCUGGGCCCCCUGCCCUCCUGAGCCUCACAGUGACCAGCCAGCCUCACACGCUGCUGACCCUCAGUAGUGGCCAACCCCGUGUCUGUCGGAGGGCACAGGCCACCAUCCCCAUGGAGCUCAGGCCUGCUGCCUGGGCAGGGGCCCUCCAGGAAGCCUGGCACUUAGGGGUGGCAGCUCAAGCUUGUUGGGGGUGGGGAGCUGGCCGGGCAGUCAGGGCCCGUCAUGUGCGACUUUGGGCCAAUCCCAUCCCCUCUGGGCCUCUGUU